ACCCCGAGUGCCAGCAUCAAAUGUUGGCUGUCCGGAUGAUUAAAAAUCAUUUGUUAGCAAGGGCCGGGCAAGACCGGUGCCAGCCGCCGCGGUAACACCGGCGGCCCGAGUGGUAGCCGUUUUUAUUGGGUCUAAAGGGUCCGUAGCCGGCCUGAUAAGUCCUUUGGGAAAUCUGGCAGCUUAACUGUCAGGCUUCUAAGGGAUACUGUCAGGCUUGGGACCGGAAGAGGUAAGGGGUACUCCAGGGGUAGGAGUGAAAUCUUGUAAUCCCCGGGGGACCAUCUGUGGCGAAGGCGCCUUACCAGAACGGGUCCGACGGUGAGGGACGAAAGCUAGGGGAGCAAACCGGAUUAGAUACCCGGGUAGUCCUAGCUGUAAACGAUGCUCGCUAGGUGUCAGACACGGUGCGACCGUGUUUGGUGCCGCAGGGAAGCCGUUAAGCGAGCCACCUGGGAAGUACGGUCGCAAGGCUGAAACUUAAAGGAAUUGGCGGGGGAGCACUACAACNGGUGGAGCCUGCGGUUUAAUUGGAUUCAACGCCGGAAA
RNAcentral lists this ribosomal RNA (546 nucleotides) under uncultured Methanosarcinales archaeon. RNAcentral describes it as "bacterial SSU rRNA". It matches the Rfam family "Archaeal small subunit ribosomal RNA", at positions 378 to 924 of the family's 1478-position model. The record is from RNAcentral. Lineage: Archaea; Methanobacteriati; Methanobacteriota; Methanomicrobia; Methanosarcinales.